Long non-coding RNA from Neofelis nebulosa (Clouded leopard), 708 nucleotides. RefSeq lists it as uncharacterized. The record is from RefSeq and is a predicted model, not a curated record. NCBI's taxonomy places the organism in Eukaryota, Metazoa, Chordata, Mammalia, Carnivora, Felidae. The transcript is spliced from 2 exons.
CCAGAUACCACGUAGAUUACAUGAAGUAACGUAUGGAAAGUGCCUGAUUCCGCUUCCAGGGGACAUUUAACGAUGUCUGGAGACACGCGUGGUUGUCACACUCGGGGGAGCGGAUUCAUCCGAUGCAGUAAAGCUCUCCAUGGACCAUUUUUAUAGGCAGAUUGCGUCUGGAGAGAAUAGGCGUCCCCCCCAAGGCCGCGGAGCCCGCCAGUACGGUACAUCCAGCUCCCUGGAUGGCCAGUGGAGGAAGACAGUCAUAGCUGAUGUUCACAGCCGCUCACAGCCGGCUUCCUCGGCUCGGACGACUUCACGCCAGCCCUCACCUCACCGCACUGACGUGGCGCUUACCUGUCGGUGGGUUGGUGUUUCCCACUGUCGUUAAUCCUCCUGACAGCAGGGACUGCCUUCACUCGGUGUCCCCUCACCCGGCACCACGCCUGGCUUGAUUGGGAGCUCGGAUGGUGUUUGAACAUCAGUGUGGAACAUCAUUACCAUUCUCAAGCCUCCUGUCUUCAUCUUCCUCCCCCCCCCCCCCCGCCUGCCCCCCGCCACGGACGCUGACACAGGGAGGGGCGUGUGGCAUUCACUGCCUCAAUGUACCCAAGCCUCCCUCCCCACAGCUGUAAAAUGGGAAUGAUGGGGAGGGAGAUCUCUUAGCCCAGAGCCUGGCACAGAAGAGGCACUUAAUAAAUAACGUCUGUAAAAGUC